UGCGCAGGCGGUUAUGUAAGACAGAUGUGAAAUCCCCGGGCUCAACCUGGGAACUGCAUUUGUGACUGCAUGGCUAGAGUACGGUAGAGGGGGAUGGAAUUCCGCGUGUAGCAGUGAAAUGCGUAGAUAUGCGGAGGAACACCGAUGGCGAAGGCAAUCCCCUGGACCUGUACCGACGCUCAUGCACGAAGCGUGGGGAGCAAACA
This 206-nucleotide ribosomal RNA is filed under the name uncultured bacterium. RNAcentral describes it as "partial 16S ribosomal RNA". It matches the Rfam family "Bacterial small subunit ribosomal RNA", at positions 568 to 774 of the family's 1533-position model. The record is from RNAcentral.